This 30-nucleotide non-coding RNA is filed under the name Homo sapiens (human). Lineage: Eukaryota; Metazoa; Chordata; Mammalia; Primates; Hominidae. The record is from RNAcentral.
UCUGACGAGGUGCAGAAAGAGGACUCUUUG